RNAcentral lists this transfer RNA (65 nucleotides) under Gebiacantha plantae. Its description in RNAcentral is "tRNA-Pro". Lineage: Eukaryota; Metazoa; Arthropoda; Malacostraca; Decapoda; Upogebiidae. The record is from RNAcentral.
CAGAAGAUAGUUUAAUAAAAAUAUUAAUUUUGGGAAUUAGUGAUAGGGGAUUCCUCUUCUUCUGA